AUGUGCACGCUCUCUACUCAAUCCAACCUUACACCUGUGCACCUAUUGUAGGUCGAGUGGCUGGACUUGUUCUGGUCGCUCUUCCUAUGUUUUACACAUACACUUGUAGUCUCAGAAUGUAAUCAGCGUAUAACGCAUUAUAAAACAACUUUCAACAACGGAUCUCUUGGCUCUCGCAUCGAUGAAGAACGCAGCGAAAUGCGAUAAGUAAUGUGAAUUGCAGAAUUCAGUGAAUCAUCGAAUCUUUGAACGCACCUUGCGCUCCUUGGUAUUCCGAGGAGCAUGCCUGUUUGAGUGUCAUGAAUAUCUCAACUCACCCGGUUUUUAUUAACUGUGGUGGGCUUGGACUUGGAGGUAUGCUGGCUGACUAGUCGGCUCCUCUCUAAAUGCAUUAGCUGGACCUGUUAUGGAUCAGUACUCGGUGUGAUAAUUGUCUACGCCGUGUCUGUGAAGUGCUUGAAUGGACUAGCUUCUAACCGUCUUCGGACAACUAUUGACAUUUUGACCUCAAAUCAGGUAGGAUUACCCGCUGAACUUAAGCAUAUCAAUAAGCGGAGGAAAAGAAACUAACAAGGAUUCCCCUAGUAACUGCGAGUGAAGCGGGAUGAGCUCAAAUUUAAAAUCUGGCGGUCUC
This 634-nucleotide ribosomal RNA is filed under the name Gloeophyllum sepiarium. RNAcentral's name for it is "eukaryotic LSU rRNA". The stretch from base 147 to 300 matches the Rfam family "5.8S ribosomal RNA". The record is from RNAcentral. Lineage: Eukaryota; Fungi; Basidiomycota; Agaricomycetes; Gloeophyllales; Gloeophyllaceae.